RNAcentral lists this transfer RNA (85 nucleotides) under Phenylobacterium sp. Root700. Its description in RNAcentral is "tRNA-Leu". It matches the Rfam family "tRNA". Rfam says of the family: Transfer RNA (tRNA) molecules are approximately 80 nucleotides in length. Their secondary structure includes four short double-helical elements and three loops (D, anti-codon, and T loops). Lineage: Bacteria; Pseudomonadati; Pseudomonadota; Alphaproteobacteria; Caulobacterales; Caulobacteraceae. The record is from RNAcentral. RNAcentral also lists the same sequence under 3 other names.
GCGGGCGUGGCGGAACUGGUAGACGCACUAGAUUUAGGUUCUAGCGCCGCAAGGCGUGGAGGUUCGAGUCCUCUCGCCCGCACCA